Molecule: transfer RNA, 68 nt
Filed under: Marmota monax (woodchuck)
Lineage: Eukaryota; Metazoa; Chordata; Mammalia; Rodentia; Sciuridae
Description: tRNA.Ala
Source: RNAcentral
GUGGUGGCUCAGUGGUAGAGCGCUUACCUAGCACAUGUAAAGCACUGGGUUCAAUUCUCAGCACCACA